This 71-nucleotide transfer RNA is filed under the name Sphaerobolus stellatus SS14. RNAcentral describes it as "tRNA-Cys (GCA) (tRNA-Cys-GCA-7-1)". It matches the Rfam family "tRNA". From Rfam's summary of the family: Transfer RNA (tRNA) molecules are approximately 80 nucleotides in length. The record is from Rfam by way of RNAcentral. Lineage: Eukaryota; Fungi; Basidiomycota; Agaricomycetes; Geastrales; Sphaerobolaceae.
GGCGCAGUAGCUCAGUGGUAGAGCGCACGAUUGCAAAUCGUGGGGCCCUGAGUUCAACCUCGGCUGCACCC